Molecule: long non-coding RNA, 1537 nt
Organism: Sapajus apella (tufted capuchin)
Lineage: Eukaryota; Metazoa; Chordata; Mammalia; Primates; Cebidae
Exons: 2
Source: RefSeq, a predicted model, not a curated record
GGGGCCUGAGGGAGGCUGCUAUUAAUGCCCGUCUCCAGGCGUGGCAUCGAGGACAGCUUCUGCUCAGAGCAAAGCUGUACUGGGGGUCAGUGUCUGUAUUGCCCGCAGCGUGUCCCUGAAACCAAGAGAGAACGGCCUGAAGAGGACGAGGAAUCCCGUUGGACUUGGUCAUUCUGUUUUCGGGGUACUCUGUUUGGUUUUGCCUUCUAUUAACAGCAGGUGAUAACGAUUUUUAUUUAAUUUGCACACACUUAUUUAAUUUGCAAAAUAAGUGUGUGAGUAAAAAAGAACAAAUAGGUUGAUUUACGGGGGAUAAUUAGGAGGCUUGUGAGUGCUUAGACAUGGCAGAGGACAUAGAAAGCCUGGGUCCCAGGUUCCUGUGAGCCUGGCUUCCCUCCAGGGGUCCCCAAGGCUCUGGCCCCUACAUCCCUCCGGGGUUGUGCCGUCUCUUCUUUCUCAGCUCACCGGGUAGCCCUUUUUGGUCUAGCUGAGAGGCUGAUGCAUGACCAGGAACAGCCUCCUGAGAUGGCUGGGGCCUUGAGUUUCAAAAUCCUGGCCUCAGAUUGACACGGUUUACAGAGACUCUCCACAUGUGGACAGAAACGUUCCAGCCUCCCGUCUUGGAAUCCCAGAAAGUUCAUGGCGAUGAUAGUAGCAAUGGCUCAUCUUCAGCGAGGGCUUCCUAUGGACCAGGCACUCUGCUAAGCCUUCCCUCAGCAUCACAGUUAUUCUCCACACCAAUCCACAAGGGAGCUACAACUCUUACUGCAUUUCACAGAUAAGGACAAGGAAGCUCAGAGACAUGACGCUACUUGUCCAAGGUCACACAGCGGGAAAAUGAGGAAGCCAGGUUUCAGAACCCAGAACUCAGUCUUAACCCAUGGUUUGAACUGGGAAGAAGCUUCAAGAUCUACUGUGACAGAUUAGGAAUCUGCAGCCCAGAGAGGAGAUGUGACAAGCCAGGGCCACUUGGUGAACAGCCCCAGGGAUGAGCAGAACCCUCGUGUCUCCAGCCACCGGCUUGUGGUUAUGGCAGUUCCAUCCAAACUUUCAUAUUUUAAAAAUCAGUCUCUCAUCCAGAUUACGAUCUCCCGAGAGCUUUUCUCCCCACUGUUCUUAUCUCUGCCCCCUUCCUCCCUGCCCCCCCCACCUCUGUGUUCCCAGUGGGCGCUAAUCCAUCACAACUGACUGAUGGCUGACUGACUGCUGACACCUGCCGCCGCCCCUGCCUCAGCUCGCGGAGGAACUGCCUGUCUCCAGGUGGGUGGACUGUCUCCAUGGGGAACUCCCAGAAGCUGGGAUAUGGUCACAGCUUUUCAGCCCUCUCACGCUGCUUGUGGGGGCCCAGCUUCAGGACCCUGGUACCUGGGGACCUCAGGGGGUGCUGGACAGCUUGAACAGACCUACUGAGUGCCAGGCACCCCAGCAAAGCAGUAACCAGGGAGCCAAAAAAAGGUUCCAGUGUUUUAAGACAAAAUAUCUCGAAAGAAGCUAUUUAAUUUUAGCAUUACAAGUAAAUACAGUGUCACUCGGAGAA